UUCCAUGUAUUGUAAUGGUUUAGCAUUCCAUAUUUUAUCUCUGGUGAUGCGGGUUCAAUCCCCGGCAUGGAAG
Thermochaetoides thermophila DSM 1495 is the source of this 73-nucleotide non-coding RNA. The record is from the annotation of a RefSeq genome assembly. Lineage: Eukaryota; Fungi; Ascomycota; Sordariomycetes; Sordariales; Chaetomiaceae.